GGCAUGUAUUGGAAGAGCAAGAUGCUCUAGAGAAUAUAAAUCAUAUGAUGUGUUACUACGAGGAGCAUAAUACUACCAACAUUGAGAUCUUCUCAAUGCUUAUAAUGCAUAGAUAAAGAAAGAUCCCACUGCCCAGAAAUAAUUAUAAGUUACAAUGGCGAUGAUCUCAUCCAUGAAUGUGAAUAAUAUCUUAUUGCUCAUGCCACAUGGGCACACUUACGAGAGACAUAUGGCAAUACAACUAUGACUCUCCUCAGAUAGUUGAUAAUCAAGUUUGACACGUACACGAAAUUAAAUGAUCAUAGUGUCAAGCAACAUCGUAAGGUGAUGUUUGAAAUAAUUGGCCCACUUAAAGGUGUUGGUAAUGUUCUCUCCGAUGAGCAGCAAGUAGUGAUCUAGUCUCUUUCCAACUGUUGGAAACAUUUGAAGGUUAAUAUAACCCAUUAUGAUAACAUUAUAAGCUUUUCGAUGUUGCCAUCAUGUGGAGCUUGAAGAUGAGUAGCUUGGUGCUGCAAAAGCUAUACCUACUGCCUAUGUGGAAGAAUUAAGUGAUAAAAAGCUUUCAGACUUCAAACAUAAGAAGAUUUAAUAAAGGACAGAAAUAACAAAGAUUUAAUAAGAAGAUAUGGAUCCUUCAAGAAAAAGUAACUUGUCAAAUUCCAAGACGGAAAAUGGCAUAACAAGAAGAAAGAUAAAAGUGUUGCAACUUUUAGCACUUGUUCUUCUUGUAUAAAAUUUCUUUUCUGCAGUAAUAUUGUCCAGAGUACACUAGAGUAUGUUAUCUAUGGUUCUAGAGACAUAUGAUUGUUUAUUUAUGUUAAAUAAUAAUCAUUCCAUGUAUGACUAUUAUUUGGGCUAAUUCAUCAUGGCAUAUUAUAUUGAGCCACAUAUGGCAAGAUCGAAUGAAUAGAUUGGCUAAUGAGGGAUAUUUGGGUUUCUUCUCUAGAAUAGACAUGCCAACUUGUGAAAAUUAUCUUGCGUAAAGAUUACACGUAAACCAUUUGAAAAAGCUAAUUUUCUAUUGCAAUUAAUCCAUUCUGAUAUCCGUGGUCCAAGGAAUGUGAGGGCUAGGUGUGGUCCUUUAUGUUUCAUUACGUUUAUUGAUGAUUUAACGCGCUUGGUUAUGUCUAUUUGAUUUCUCAUAAAUCUGAAGCACUAAAAUACUUUAAAAAAUAUUUGAAUGAAGUUGAAAAUCAAUUAGACAAAAGGAUUAAGACCUUAAGAACCGAUAGAGGGCAUGAAUAUCUAUCAAAAUAAUAUGAAGAAUUGUGGAAUAAAAAGGGCAUCACUAGACAGUUAUCUAUUCCUUACACACCUCAACAAAAUGGUUUAGCAAAAAGGAUGAAUAGAACACUAUUGGACAUGAUAAGGUCCAUGAUGGCACAAACAAAUUUACCUAUCUCUUUUUGGGGAGAUGCGUUAUUGAGUGCAGCCUACAUAUUGAACAAAGUACCUUCUAAAUCAGUUUCUUCCGGUCCUUAUGAGCUAUGGGCUGGUCACAACCAAACUUAAAUGAUUUAUGACCUUGGGGUUGUGCUGCAUAUGUAAAAGAUUCUUUUAGAAAGUUUGGUAAAUUAGAUCCAAAAAGCAAGAAAUAUACCUUUAUAAGAUAUUCAAAACACUCCAAAGGGUAUGUGUUCAUUGGUGAAUUAAAGGAUGGAAGUGUUACUGAGAUUGAAUCACGAGAUGUCAUAUUUCUAAAAAAUAAUUUUCCAAAGAAUGGCGAGGUAAAGAAUGGAGAGCCUUUUGAUGAAAUAUUGAGCUCAAAUAGUCAGCAAGUAUCUUCUGACACAGUUGAUAAUCAAAACAAUCAAGAUCUUGUUCUUGAUCCAAGUGGGAGUGGGAGUUCUCAAUCCCAAAAUCCUUAUGACGAAUUUGAAUUUCAACUACGAAAGAAUACCAAGAAAAAUAAACACAAACAUACUUAUAAGAUUAAAGAUUACGUUUUUUUGGUAUCUCCCACAGAAAUGGAUGAGCUAAAAUCCAUGACCGAGGCUUUAUCGAGCCCUGGAAAAUUUGAGUGGAUGGAAGCAAUGAAAGAAGAAUUAGAGUCCAUAAAAACCAACAAAGUCUGGAUCUAGUUUACCUUCCGCCUGGGCGUAGAGUCAUUGGGAACAAAUGUGUUCUCAAAAUUAAACGCAAAACGGAUGGGUCAAUAAAAAGAUACAAGGUACGAUUGUGGCAAAAAGCUUUACACAAGAAGCUAGAAUAGAUUAUAAGAAAAUAUUUUCACCAGUUGUGAAGUUUACCUUAAUUCACUUACUUUUGGCUAUUGUUGCACGUUUAGAUCUGGAAUUAUACCAAAUGGACGUGAAGACAUAUUUUCUCAAUGGAGAACAAAAUGAGAAAAUCUACAUGGAAUAAUUUGUAGGCUUUCAUCGUUAAAUGCCAAGAAAAGAAGGUUUGUAAAUUGAAAAGAUCUAUUUAUGGUCUGGAAAAAUCUUCAAGGCAAUGGUAUUUGAGAUUUCACAAGAAAGUGAUCUCGUAUGAUUUCACCAUGACCAAUAAAGACCAUUGCAUUUAUGUGAAGAAGUCC
RNAcentral lists this long non-coding RNA (2536 nucleotides) under Nicotiana tabacum (common tobacco). Its description in RNAcentral is "long non-coding RNA (NTAB_LNC010938)". The record is from RNAcentral. Lineage: Eukaryota; Viridiplantae; Streptophyta; Magnoliopsida; Solanales; Solanaceae.